AUUGAACGCUGGCGGCAGGCCUAACACAUGCAAGUCGAACGGUAACAGGAAGCACCUUUCUGCUUCGCUGACGCGUGGCGGACGUGAGUGUAAUGUCGGGGAAGCUCCCUGAUGGAGUGGGCUACCUACUGGAAACGGUAGCAAAUACCGCUUAAUGUUGCAAACCCAAAGAUUAGGACCUUCAGGCCCCUUUCCAUCGGUUGUGGCCAGAUGGGAUUAGCUUGUUGUUGGGGUAACGGCUCACGAAGACGACGUCCACUAUCCGGUCUGAGAGGAUGACCAGCCACACUGGAACUGAGACACGGUCAAGACUCCUACGGGAGCCAGAGGUGGGGAAUAUUGCACAAUGGGCGCAAGCCUGAUGCAGCAAGGCCGCGUGGAUGAAGAAGGUCUUCGGGUUGUAAAGUACUUUCAGCGGGGAGGAAGGGAGUAAAGUUAAUAGCUUCGCCCAUUGACGUUACCCGCAGAAGAAGCAACGGCUAACUCCGUG
RNAcentral lists this ribosomal RNA (490 nucleotides) under uncultured bacterium. RNAcentral describes it as "partial 16S ribosomal RNA". It matches the Rfam family "Bacterial small subunit ribosomal RNA", at positions 30 to 507 of the family's 1533-position model. The record is from RNAcentral.